GAACAAUGAUGAGUUUUAUUAAUCCUGAUGUGCUGUGAAGAAUAUUUUUACGAGCUUUUUAACUCUGAGUGUA
This is a small nucleolar RNA of Parasteatoda tepidariorum (common house spider), 73 nucleotides long. NCBI's taxonomy places the organism in Eukaryota, Metazoa, Arthropoda, Arachnida, Araneae, Theridiidae. The record is from RefSeq and is a predicted model, not a curated record.